This is a long non-coding RNA of Acinonyx jubatus (cheetah), 1269 nucleotides long. RefSeq lists it as uncharacterized. Lineage: Eukaryota; Metazoa; Chordata; Mammalia; Carnivora; Felidae. The record is from RefSeq and is a predicted model, not a curated record. The transcript is spliced from 2 exons.
AGCAGGCGAGACAGUGUGCGUGUGCGUGAAACGUCUGUUGCCCGGCGGUCGGGGUGUUGGGAGUGUUUGUUACAGCCGCCUGACCCAGCGCACGCCGGCUGAUGCAGGGACCGAGUGUCCUCGCGGCUGCAGGGACGGGGGAGAAUUAAGGCGCGCGUGAGAGUGUGUGUGAGGAUGCCCGCGAGAGGGCGACGUUGGGAGGGAGGAAGUGAGGCCACUGUGAGGGACACCUCCCCCCCCCUCCGCCCCCCACCGCGUGUGCCUGCACUGUCCCCGGGGCCCCAGGUCAGGCAGGGGUCAAGAUCGGCACCCUGCCACACGGGGACUAGCCGCACCUGCGCUCCUUCCUCUUUACCUUGGAAACUUGUCUUGAAUCUCUCAGCUCCUUCUCCCUGUCCUGCUGCCUUGUCCCUCCCUGCAGCCACCCUCGUCUCCAUCUGGAGGGUACAGCUGCCUUCCUGUCUGGCUGCCCCCCACCCAGGCUUUUCUCCACGCAGCCAUCUUUCCAAACCCAAAUUGGACCCUGUCACUCCUUUGCUUCAAAGCCUUCAGUGGUUCCCUGUGGCCCCAUUACCCCCUCCUUCCCAUGGCUAGCACCCUCAGCCUAUGUCCCGUUCAACCUGUCAGGAGGCUUACACCACCUCUCCCCUCGGGCCCUUUGCACAUGCUGUUCCCUCCUCCCAGAAUGCUUGUCCCUUAUGCUCUUUCCCUAGUUCACCUCUCAGCCACCGCCUCCUCAGGGAAGCCCUCCCUGAUACACACUCUCGUCCCUCCACAUGUCUCGCUUUUGAAGCACCGUAUGCUCACAUCAUGAACUUCGUCUCUCCCAGGAGUCUGUGGGCUCCUGGUUGGGCCAGGGCCUGCCCCGCCUGGCCACUGCCACCACCACUGCCUGGCACACGCCUUGUGAGCCGGGGCAGGCCACUUACCUCUCUGUGACUCAGUUUCCUCAUCGGUAACGUGAAUACGAGGUUCACGGGCCGCUGGGAUGGACACCUGCCUGCCCACCACCCAUCCUCUCUUCCGGGAUCUGCACACUGAUUCUUCCUCGGGGACCAUCCUCCCGCCUCCUGCAGUCGGUGAAGUUUGAGAGAGAACCCUUCCCCCAGCUGUCUCAAGGGCACAGGACCCAGGCGUGGCCAAUCGAAGAACGCCACCCCCUGGUCUUAUGAUUGGUUCAGGAACGUGCAUGUAACCCAAGUGCAAUCAGUGAUAAUGAGCUCUGGAACUUGUGCUUGAGCUGUUGGGAAAGAGUUAUUUUGGUCUGUU